AACGAACGCUGGCGGCAUGCCUAACACAUGCAAGUCGAACGAGACCUUCGGGUCUAGUGGCGCACGGGUGCGUAACGCGUGGGAACCUGCCCUUAGGUUCGGAAUAACUUCCCGAAAGGGGUGCUAAUACCGGAUAAUGUCUUCGGACCAAAGAUUUAUCGCCUUUGGAUGGGCCCGCGUUGGAUUAGCUAGUUGGUAGGGUAAAAGCCUACCAAGGCGACGAUCCAUAGCUGGUCUGAGAGGAUGAUCAGCCACACUGGGACUGAGACACGGCCCAGACUCCUACGGGAGGCAGCAGUGGGGAAUAUUGGACAAUGGGCGAAAGCCUGAUCCAUCAAUGCCGCGUGAGUGAUGAAGGCCUUAGGGUUGUAAAGCUCUUUUACCCGGGAUGAUAAUGACAGUACCGGGAGAAUAAGCUCCGGCUAACUCCGUG
Molecule: ribosomal RNA, 433 nt
Filed under: uncultured bacterium
Lineage: Bacteria
Description: partial 16S ribosomal RNA
Rfam family: Bacterial small subunit ribosomal RNA
Source: RNAcentral